CAAUAGCGUAUAUUAAAGUUGUUGCAGUUAAAAUGCUCGUAGUUGAAUGUUUGCGUGAGCGUUGACGUAUACUCGCUUAGGCAGGUUACGUCCAAUGCUUUGCAGUGGGUUGAUGUUGCACUUCCUUCGGUGGGAGGCGAGUCUACCCGUUUUACUUUGAGAAACUUAGGGUGUUCCAAGCAUGUCUUCGCAUAUAUAUUCCAGCAUGGAAUAAAGUGGUACGACUUCGGCUCUGCCUUUUGGUUCGCAGGACUGGAGUAAUGGUUAAUAGGGACAGUCGGGGGCAUUGGUAUUUUAACUGUCAGAGGUGAAAUUCUUAGAUUUGUUAAGGACUAUCUACUGCGAAAGCAUUUGCCAAGGAUGUCUCCAUUAA
Molecule: ribosomal RNA, 373 nt
Filed under: uncultured eukaryote
Lineage: Eukaryota
Description: partial 18S ribosomal RNA
Rfam family: Eukaryotic small subunit ribosomal RNA
Source: RNAcentral